ACUCAUCAAGCCCUGCCUAUAAAGGAAGCAGGAAGUUAAGGGUUCCUUCUUUCAUCUUCAAGGCUGCACACAGCAGGCAGCAACAGAAAUUUUUCACUCCUUAUUCAAUCUGGUGAAGAAAUGAAAAGAGGAGUUUGUCUGACUGUCAACCUACGAGCACCAAACACGUGGAGGACUGUACACACACCUGUGGAGGAUGUAGAGGACCAUCUCUUUGCUUCCUGCACUGGCAGCGUGAUGACGUAACCUGCAGCCGGACGAGUCGAGUGACGUCAGGUCGGCUCCCUCCAGGUGCGGCUCCCUCCCUCCAGGUGCGGCUCCCUGCAGCUGAUGAUUCAAUUCAAAGACACAUACACAGAAGUCAAUGUGAUGCAGAAUGGACACCGCAGUAGUUACUUUCCAAAAAAACGGGCAGCCUGACCAAAACAAGACAAAGAGCUGUUAACAUGUAUGCUACACCACGCUGCCUCACCUGCUUCCUUCAACAUUUGGUGUUUCCUCGCUCUGUGCUGCAUCUGGAAGGAUUUUCUUUAGAUUAAAGUUAACUUGUUAGCUGUUUUAGUUUUCUUUCAGUCAUAGUUUGUUGUUUUCAUCUAUAGAUUUAGUUAAAAGUCUGUUUUCUUUAACUUUCAUUUGAAAGCUUCAAUAACAUUUUAAAGUCUUAAUUUGUUUCAUGUUCGUGUUGUCAGCAUCUUUAAUUCCUAAUAGAUGUUUUGUAGGAGUUGUUUCCUUCAGUCACAAUGCUGUAAAACUUGUUUAAACACUACAAUAAAUAAAACACACCUGGCAGAUAACCAGAGCCUCACAGAUGCAGAAUGGA
Labrus bergylta (ballan wrasse) is the source of this 820-nucleotide non-coding RNA. The record is from RefSeq and is a predicted model, not a curated record. NCBI's taxonomy places the organism in Eukaryota, Metazoa, Chordata, Actinopteri, Labriformes, Labridae.